Molecule: ribosomal RNA, 735 nt
Filed under: uncultured bacterium
Lineage: Bacteria
Description: bacterial SSU rRNA
Rfam family: Bacterial small subunit ribosomal RNA
Source: RNAcentral
GACGAACGCUGGCGGCGCGCCUAACACAUGCAAGUCGAACGAGCGAGAGAGAGCUUGCUUUCUCAAGCGAGUGGCGAACGGGUGAGUAACGCGUGAGGAACCUGCCUCAAAGAGGGGGACAACAGUUGGAAACGACUGCUAAUACCGCAUAAGCCCACAGGUCGGCAUCGACCAGAGGGAAAAGGAGCAAUCCGCUUUGAGAUGGCCUCGCGUCCGAUUAGCUAGUUGGUGAGGUAACGGCCCACCAAGGCGACGAUCGGUAGCCGGACUGAGAGGUUGAACGGCCACAUUGGGACUGAGACACGGCCCAGACUCCUACGGGAGGCAGCAGUGGGGAAUAUUGCACAAUGGGGGAAACCCUGAUGCAGCGACGCCGCGUGGAGGAAAAAGGUCUUCGGAUUGUAAACUCCUGUUGUUGAGGAAGAUAAUGACGGUACUCAACAAGGAAGUGACGGCUAACUACGUGCCAGCAGCCGCGGUAAAACGUAGGUCACAAGCGUUGUCCGGAAUUACUGGGUGUAAAGGGAGCGCAGGCGGGAAGACAAGUUGGAAGUGAAAUCUAUGGGCUCAACCCAUAAACUGCUUUCAAAACUGUUUUUCUUGAGUAGUGCAGAGGUAGGCGGAAUUCCCGGUGUAGCGGUGGAAUGCGUAGAUAUCGGGAGGAACACCAGUGGCGAAGGCGGCCUACUGGGCACCAACUGACGCUGAGGCUCGAAAGUGUGGGUAGCAAACAGG